RNAcentral lists this ribosomal RNA (491 nucleotides) under uncultured bacterium. RNAcentral describes it as "bacterial SSU rRNA". It matches the Rfam family "Bacterial small subunit ribosomal RNA", at positions 12 to 517 of the family's 1533-position model. The record is from RNAcentral.
UUUGAUCCUGGCUCAGGACGAACGCUGGCGGCGUGCUUAACACAUGCAAGUCGAACGGUGACGAGGAGCUUGCUCCUCUGAUCAGUGGCGAACGGGUGAGUAACACGUGAGCAACCUGCCCCAGACUCUGGGAUAACAGUUGGAAACAGCUGCUAAUACCGGAUACGAGACGGAGAGGCAUCUCUACCGUCUGGAAAGUUUUUCGGUCUGGGAUGGACUCGCGGCCUAUCAGCUAGUUGGUGAGGUAAUGGCUCACCAAGGCGACGACGGGUAGCCGGCCUGAGAGGGCGACCGGCCACACUGGGACUGAGACACGGCCCAGACUCCUACGGGAGGCAGCAGUGGGCGCCUGAUCCAGCCAUGCCGCGUGUGUGAAGAAGGCCCUCGGGUUGUAAAGCACUUUAAGCGAGGAGGAAGGUCAUCAUGCUAAUAUUAUGAUGAAUUGACGUUACUCGCAGAAUAAGCACCGGCUAACUCUGUGCCAGCAGCCG